ACUGAGACACGGACCAGACUCCUACGGGAGGCAGCAGUGAGGAAUAUUGGUCAAUGGGAGAGAUCCUGAACCAGCCAAGCCGCGUGAGGGAAGACGGCCCUAUGGGUUGUAAACCUCUUUUGUCGGAGAACAAAACCCGGGACGAGUCCCGGACUGCGUGUAUCCGAAGAAAAAGCAUCGGCUAACUCCGUGCCAGCAGCCGCGGUAAUACGGAGGAUGCGAGCGUUAUCCGGAUUUAUUGGGUUUAAAGGGUGCGUAGGCGGUCCGUUAAGUCAGCGGUAAAAUUGCGGGGCUCAACCCCGUCGAGCCGUUGAAACUGGCAGACUUGAGUUGGCGAGAAGUACGCGGAAUGCGCGGUGUAGCGGUGAAAUGCAUAGAUAUCGCGCAGAACUCCGAUUGCGAAGGCAGCGUACCGGCGCCACACUGACGCUGAGGCACGAAAGCGUGGGGAUCGAACAGGAUUAGAUACCCUGGCAGUCCACGCAGUAAACGAUGAAUGCUGGUUGUCCGGGUCGAAUGAGAUCUGG
RNAcentral lists this ribosomal RNA (527 nucleotides) under uncultured bacterium. Its description in RNAcentral is "bacterial SSU rRNA". It matches the Rfam family "Bacterial small subunit ribosomal RNA", at positions 318 to 842 of the family's 1533-position model. The record is from RNAcentral.